RNAcentral lists this long non-coding RNA (1432 nucleotides) under Canis lupus familiaris (dog). RNAcentral describes it as "lncRNA (ENSCAFG00000045048.2)". Lineage: Eukaryota; Metazoa; Chordata; Mammalia; Carnivora; Canidae. The record is from RNAcentral.
UGAGAGACACAGAGAGAGAAGCAGACACUUUGGCAGAGAAAGAAGCAGGCUCCCUUUGGGGAGCCCGAUGCGGGACUCAAUCCCAGGACCCCAGGAUCACAACCUGAGCCAAAGGCAGAUACUUAACCACUGAGCCACCCAGCUGUCCCCCUCCCCUUUUUAAAAAUAUUUUAUAUUUUAAUUUAUUCAUGAGAAACACACAGAGUCAGAGACAUAGACAGAUGGAGAACUGACACGUCUUUAACAAAAUCACUAUCCUCAAGUACUUUUCCAUAAAAAAUUGGACUUUAUAUUCUGGAAAUGACAAAAACGCCCUCAAACUUAGGCCUUAAAAAAUUACAUCAUAAAACCUUUUAAGAAAGCAGAUCAUGUUCUCUCUAAACAUGUUUUUGUAAAAUCAUUCUGAACAAUACAUUCUUUUUUUUUUUUUUUUUAAGAUCUUAUUUAUUCAUAAGAGACACACAGAGAGAGGCAGAGACACAGGCAGAGAGAGAAGCAGGCUCCAUGCAGGGAGCCCCAUGCGGGACCCAAUCUCUGGACCCCAGGAUCAGCCCUGAGCCGAAGGCAGACGCUCAACCACUGAGCCACCUAGGCGUCCCUGAACAAUACAUUCUUUUAAAAGUCUGUGAUUUUGGUUCAGAUAUUUCUUAUCUAAUGCUCAGGCACAGCGGCUGCGUUUGUUGCCCUCCUGAUAGAGAUGGAUGCUCUGGAAACCCUUCCCGACAACCAGUCCCGGACACAGGCAGGCCCGACCCUUCUUUCCUGGGCUCCAGGGGCUCCCGGCCGCGAUCAAGGCUGGAGAGGAGGUGCUGGAGGGCGGCCUUGCUCCCCCCAGCCUGGCUGCGCUCUGCGCCCAAGAGGCUGAGGAUGUGCUGCAGCAGCUGCAGCUGAAAUAAUCAUGAGUAGGACAACUGCGGCAGCACAGCUUCAAGAGUGUCAUUCUCCUCAGUGUGAAGAUCUACAAUCCAAACAGAGAGGUGAUUUGUCCCUUUACUGUCUAACAUACAACGUCUAAGACAGAAAUAAGGUAACAUUACCGGCACCCCCAUUCAAACUGGGGGAAAGCGGAAAGCACACAGCUCUCGCUGGUCUAUUGUAAACCUGAUGCCCAUUUGGGCAGGUGGUGUGGGUUUUCAGAUAGGAGCUCAGGCUAACUCUCCGAGAGUUACUCUCCAGGGCUGAUUUUUCUCCUCUCUGCACUUCUUAGUUCUCCCUUUAAGUUAUCCUUCCUUUUCCACAAGAAGUGGCUCCUGGCAUAGGCUACUUAAAAAAAAAUAUAUUUUAUUCAUUUAUUUGAGAGAGAGAGAGAGAAAGAAAGAGAGAGAAAUAGGGGGAGGGGCAGAGGGAGAGGGAAAAACUGACUUCCUGCUGAGCAGGGAGCCCAAUGUGGGACUCAAUCCCAGGACCCUGAGAUCAUGACCUGAUCCAAAGG